AAGAUGGACUCGCGUCCGAUUAGAUAGUUGGCGGGGUAACGGCCCACCAAGUCGACGAUCGGUAGCCGGACUGAGAGGUUGAUCGGCCACAUUGGGACUGAGACACGGCCCAGACUCCUACGGGAGGCAGCAGUGGGGAAUAUUGGGCAAUGGGGGAAACCCUGACCCAGCAACGCCGCGUGAGGGAUGACGGUUUUCGGAUUGUAAACCUCUGUCCUCUGUGAAGAUAGUGACGGUAGCAGAGGAGGAAGCUCCGGCUAACUACGUGCCAGCAGCCGCGGUAAUACGUAGGGAGCAAGCGUUGUCCGGAUUUACUGGGUGUAAAGGGUGCGUAGGCGGAUUGGCAAGUCAGAAGUGAAAUCCAUGGGCUUAACCCAUGAACUGCUUUUGAAACUGUUAGUCUUGAGUGAAGUAGAGGUAGGCGGAAUUCCCGGUGUAGCGGUGAAAUGCGUAGAGAUCGGGAGGAACACCAGUGGCGAAGGCGGCCUACUGGGCUUUAACUGACGCUGAGGCACGAAAGUGUGGGUAGCAAACAGGAUUAGAUACCCUGGUAGUCCACACUGUAAACGAUGAUUACUAGGUGUGGGG
RNAcentral lists this ribosomal RNA (588 nucleotides) under uncultured bacterium. RNAcentral's name for it is "bacterial SSU rRNA". It matches the Rfam family "Bacterial small subunit ribosomal RNA", at positions 222 to 827 of the family's 1533-position model. The record is from RNAcentral.